AACGAACGCUGGCGGCAUGCCUAACACAUGCAAGUCGAACGGGACCUUCGUGUCUAUUUGCGCACGUCUACUGACCGCGGGGUAACCUGCCCUUGGGUUCGGAAUCACUCCCCGAAGGGUGUGCUAAUACCGGUUAGUGUCUUCCGACCAAAGAUUUCUGGCAUUUGGAUGGGGCCUGGUUAGAUUCGCCAGUUGGUAGUGUAAAAGCAUACCAAGGCGAGGAUGCAUAGCUGGUCUGAGAGGAUGAUAAGUCAGACUGGGAAUGAGACACGGCCCAGAACCGUACGGGAGGGAGCAGUGGGGAAUAUUGGGCGAUGGGGGAAAGCGUGAUACAGCAACGCCGCGGGAGUGAUGAAGGCCGUAGGAUUGUAAAGCUCUUUUACCCGGGAUGAUAAUGACAGUACUGGGAGAAUAAGCUCCGGCUAACUCCGUG
RNAcentral lists this ribosomal RNA (433 nucleotides) under uncultured bacterium. RNAcentral describes it as "partial 16S ribosomal RNA". It matches the Rfam family "Bacterial small subunit ribosomal RNA", at positions 29 to 507 of the family's 1533-position model. The record is from RNAcentral.